Molecule: ribosomal RNA, 253 nt
Filed under: uncultured bacterium
Lineage: Bacteria
Description: partial 16S ribosomal RNA
Rfam family: Bacterial small subunit ribosomal RNA
Source: RNAcentral
UACAGAGGGGGCAAGCGUUGUUCGGAAUUACUGGGCGUAAAGGGCGCGUAGGCGGCCUUCUAAGUCGAACGUGAAAUCCCUGGGCUCAACCCAGGAACUGCGUCCGAGACUGGAAGGCUUGAAUCCGGGAGAGGGAUGCGGAAUUCCAGGUGUAGCGGUGAAAUGCGUAGAUAUCUGGAGGAACACCGGUGGCGAAGGCGGCAUCCUGGACCGGUAUUGACGCUGAGGCGCGAAAGCCAGGGGAGCAAACGGG